Molecule: non-coding RNA, 1615 nt
Organism: Podarcis muralis (Common wall lizard)
Lineage: Eukaryota; Metazoa; Chordata; Lepidosauria; Squamata; Lacertidae
Source: RefSeq, a predicted model, not a curated record
GAAGCUGGGCUGGGCUGUUAGGGGCGUAGCUCAGCAAUGCAGCCGUUGCUCUGCAUGCAGAAGGACCCCGGCUGAGUGCUUGGCAUGCAGAAGGAGGCCCAGAAGGAGAUCCUCCCCCUGCCUCAACUUGCCCAGCUUCCCCCCCUCCCUCCCUGCCGCCAGUUGGGGGGCGGGGGCCGGGUCCCCAUGGAGCCCCCAGAGCAGGAGGCCAGAGGCAGCGCCGCCCCGUCGCCUUCCCCUCCGGACACAGGGAGGGGCUACUCUUGAAGAUGUAGCUCUAGGGGCAAGCGCGUCGGAAAAGGAGCCGGAAGUGGCGCUGGGAAAUGCGCCGGAAGUGGCCAGACAGGGAAAGGAGGAGGAGGGGCGUCGCUGAAGAGCCCCCCCUCCCCCUGUCGCCGCCGCCCUUUCUUUGCGCAUAAGGAAAGCGGACUAAUCCGGAGCCAGGGAGGCGGAGGACCAAGAGACCCCUAAGUAGUAGCAGCUGCCAGGACAUUGUCCUGUUCGCCUCUAUACAGUUCCAGCCUUAGUUCAGAUGUUGUGGUAGAUUGCAAUCAGGGUGGAUUUGAUAUAAAUCAAAUUGAUUUCAAUCACAAUUUACAAUCAAUCACUAGUCAGUAUGAUUCUGUUUAAAUCAAAAAUUUCUGAUUUGGUUACACUGUUAGAAAUACACAGGCAGAUAAUUAUGAAAUCAUUCUGAGGUUUAAUAAGUUUACUGUCCAUAUUUGGACAACAUUUCUGCUGUAAUUUAUUGGAAAGAGAAAAAUAAUCAUUUCCUUAAUAACAACUUAAACAAUUUAUUUAACUAAAACAAUAUUAUAGCAUGUUGGUAAAAAGAUUUUUUUUAUAUAUAAAAAACAACAACCAAGCAGACUGAGUUUUAGCGCACAUGAAAAACUCGGAACUUACGCCUUUCACCACCUCCACUACCAGCCACCCCUUUGGAUAGGUGCCUAUUCUGUACAGUUAAGUGUUAGUGCGGCUGUUGGAACCCAGUGGGAUUGGGAAGAGGUUGCCAGCCCUGAAGAGCCUUCAGCGCUUGCCUCAAGUCUGACUUGCACAAUUAUUACACAAAGACCCCAAGAUGUGUGGAGUAUUCUGCUCACAAGGUUGAACUUUCAUUUUUACUGCUUCACACUUAGCUACUUGUGCAGAUCUCUUCCACUGCAAACCAUCUGUUCAUUGAACCUCUUAGAACUCAGCAUUUAAGGGGUUGAUUCUGUGUAUAUAAUUCUGCAUUGGAACAAUGGGAUUAAGGUUUUCCGUCAACUCUGUAUGUUUAUUUUAUAACAUUUUUCCUGUGAAGAAAAGGCAUGUUAUCUCUGCAGAUACACAAAUUCACACUUUUGAGAAUGGCAAAAACAAGCAUCUGUGACAAUAUCGUCUCUUUAGAAAAACUUCCCCAAAUAAUCUUACAAAAACCUCUGGAAGAGCAUGACAUUGUGAAUGGAUUAAUGGAAUUCAUUUACCCAAAAAAUUAAAUAUUCCAUAUAAAGCCUCAUGCUAGAUCAUUAAAAAGAUAUCCUUAUUUCCUGAUGAAUAGCCUUUGGACUAUAAUGUAAUUAAAUAUAAAACUAUCUUUAGAUAGACUUUUUCCUCUAAAAGCAUUUUAUUUUUU